Molecule: ribosomal RNA, 209 nt
Filed under: Escherichia coli
Lineage: Bacteria; Pseudomonadati; Pseudomonadota; Gammaproteobacteria; Enterobacterales; Enterobacteriaceae
Description: partial 23S ribosomal RNA
Rfam family: Bacterial large subunit ribosomal RNA
Source: RNAcentral
CUAAUCUGCGAUAAGCGUCGGUAAGGUGAUAUGAACCGUUAUAACCGGCGAUUUCCGAAUGGGGAAACCCAGUGUGAUUCGUCACACUAUCAUUAACUGAAUCCAUAGGUUAAUGAGGCGAACCGGGAGAACUGAAACAUCUAAGUACCCCGAGGAAAAGAAAUCAACCGAGAUUCCCCCAGUAGCGGCGAGCGAACGGGGAGCAGCCC